Lepidothrix coronata (blue-crowned manakin) is the source of this 496-nucleotide long non-coding RNA. RefSeq lists it as uncharacterized. NCBI's taxonomy places the organism in Eukaryota, Metazoa, Chordata, Aves, Passeriformes, Pipridae. The record is from RefSeq and is a predicted model, not a curated record. The transcript is spliced from 4 exons.
CACAGUGACACGCAGAUGAGCGCUGAGGGGUGGCUAAUUGCUCAGGGCAGGCUGACAUAAUGGAGCAGUUCUGAGAGCACCUCAGCUGUGGAGAUAUGUGCUGGCCCUCUGCUGCUGCCCUCCUGCACAGAUGCUCUCUCUCCUUCAUAGGAGAAAUCUCCAUUUCUCACCAAGAGGAGUCUGAAGAAUUGAGUGCCCAAAGAAUUUGCAUGGAAUUAUUCAUCCGGCUCAAGAUCUGCAGGACGCUCCUUCCCUCACUGUGCACAGACCAUGCUGGGGGUGGCACAUGCAGAUGGGCAGUGCUGGAGGGCACAAGCGACUGCAGUGGCUCCUUGCUGCUCCCACACAGACUGUGGAUGCCAUGGGGUUACAGCUGGCCUCGUCAGCAGCAGGAACGGAGCUCCGGCGUGUCCCUCUCCAUGGUGCAGGCUGGGCACAGGAGUGGUGCUUACAUAGGUGAGGAGAAAGCGUUUUUGCAACAGCAUGGAAGAUGUGU